UGACUGAAUUUUAGGUUAAGGUUAAGUCACCGUCCCGCAAUCCUAAUCUAAAGAAGUUGACAUUUGCGGAGACAAUGUUUUUCCAUAAAAAUUGGUUUUCUUGUUAAAUAAGCAUAGAUGUGACAUAGAAAAAUGUCCAAAAAGGAUACCACUUCCGAAGUUUCCAUGGGUAUCGAUUAUGAUGAUCCUGCUUAUAGAAUAAGUCCAUUACAACAGGCAGCAGCCUCAUGUACAGGAGCCCUCAUUACUUCGUUGUUCGUGACACCAUUAGAUGUUGUGAAAAUCCGAUUACAGUCUCAACAAAAGAUAUCAAAAAGCCAGUCAAAAUGUUUUUUGUAUUGUAAUGGUUUAAUGGACCAUUUUUGUAGCUGCAGUCCAGAUGAUCCUAAUAGUAGAUGGUUGCAACGACCCGGCCAUUUUAAUGGAACAAUUGAUGCUUUUAUUAAAAUUAGCAGAACAGAAGGCAUUUCUUCACUUUGGAGUGGUUUAAGUCCGACAUUAGUUUUAGCGAUACCUGCCACAAUAGUAUAUUUUGUAACAUAUGAACAAUUAAAGAAUCAUCUCAAAGAUGACCAUAGGGAUAAAUUGUUAAAAAUAGGCCAAAUACCAAGUAAGCAAACGCCACUGUGGAUACCUUUAUUAUCAGGAGCAUGUGCUAGGGUAAUAUCAGUGUCACUAGUAAGCCCUUUGGAAUUGUUUAGGACCAAAAUGCAAUCACAGAAGCUCAGUUAUUAUGAGAUGAAUCUUGCCGUAAAAGCAUUAAUAAAACAAGAUGGGCUUCGAGGUCUUUGGAAAGGAAUAUUCCCAACGUUAUAUAGAGAUGUCCCAUUUUCAGCCAUUUAUUGGAUGAACUAUGAAAGUAUCAAAUCUCUAAUGGGCGUAACAGAUAGUCAUCCUUCAUUUUGGAUAAGCUUUUUUGCUGGAGCAAUUUCUGGAUCUAUAGCGGCCUCUAUAACAACACCUUUUGACGUUGUAAAGACACAUCAACAGAUUGAAUUUGGAGAAAAAAAUCUAUAUGGAGCUGGAAAUAAAGCAAAGGCAAAUAGAUCUACUAUAGAAGUGAUAAGAGAAAUCCGAGCGGGCCAUGGGACUAGGGGACUGUUCGCCGGUUUGGCUCCAAGACUAAUCAAAGUUGCCCCUGCCUGUGCUAUUAUGAUCUCCACAUUUGAAUAUGGUAAAGUGUUCUUCAGUAAAUGGACAAAUCAACCUAUGGACCAAUUGGAUCCUGAUAUUAGUUCAACACCUAGUUUUGUAUCUAAAGAUGACAGGAAAUCGGUGAUGAUAGGCAAUAAGAUUGGAAUAUAAUUUAAGUUGGGCUAUUCCUCGUCAUAGGCAGUGGUGGGGGGUUAAAAUUAAUUGGUUUUUGAAGUUUUUAGUAAAUCUGACUGUGAUAAAUCGAUAACCGAUUCAUUAAUGCCAUUCAAAAGGUUUUAUUAUCAAGUUGUGCUACUGACUUAGGUAAUGACGUCACAAUAGGCUCGAUUGUUGAUUAUUUUGUAUGCUGACAAUGGGUGUGAGUAAAACUCAAGCUUAAGUCAAUCAGGAAGGAAGAAGAAUGGUCUCAUCGUUCACAUGUGACAUAAAUUAAUGUGUUUUUGGUAUGAAGUACCCAAUUAGUUAAAAAUAUAAAAGAAUAAGAUUAAAUAAUGCCGCCUUUUGUUUUAUUUAUUGUUACUCAUAUAAUGAAAUGAGUCCACUAAAAAUAUCAAAAUAUCAAUUUGAUGAAAAUUAUUCUUGAUAAAAAUAAUAAACUUAAAGAUAAAACCCAUAACUAAAUUAAAAUUCAUGGUGACGUUUCAAUUAUUACUUUAAUCAUCGUCAGAAUAAUAAGUUUCUUGAGCGGAUGCUUUAAAAUAAUUUUAAAGGAACAAACAAUAAUUAAUGAAAACGUAAAAAUGACAUUGACAAUCAUUGGGUUAAGUCAAUAAUUUCAAACACGCCAUGUCUUGUUGCGUGUUUAAGGGUGGCUUCAAAAGAAAUAUGGAUAAUGCCUCCUUGAUGCUGAGUUCCGUUGGAGAACUUGCAUGACCAAUGAUUGAGAAGUCCUUACGACUAAUAAGGUGGUCAGAAUCAGUCAUAUGUUGGAAUACCGCUGAAUUUGGAAUUGUUCUUGAUCGUCUUCCUAAGUGAGGAGUGACACCUAAGUAUUCGCAACAUCUGACAUUAAAGUGACGUCGAGUCUUCCCGACGUACGUAGCUGCACAGCUACUACAUUUGAAUUGGUAUAUAAUGUUAGAUGCGAGAUCACUAGGAAUCAUGUCUUUCACAUGGAAACGAGAUCACAUGGAGGCAAAGUCGUGAAAGCAAAUCUUAAUUCUAUAGAGGGAAAUGCUUUUUUAAUCUACGGAUGUUGCGUCGGAUUUGUAAGCUGUGGUAACCAGUAUAUGGAAGUUUGAUAUAGAUCUUUUCUUUGAAAAUUAUUCUGAUGAAAAUUCCAUUGUCAAUACAGGUUGCGCCAGACCUCUGGUUUUCUUUGAUUACUGCUAAGCUAUGGGGUAAACAAAAACAUGUUUUUAACAAAACUAAUGUGUAUCGAAGACGUCUAUAAUUUAAAAUUAUGUUUGGUUAUACAUUUUUGAAUAAAUUUUUUAAAAAUGUGAAGAAUUUGUAGGUUUUAUGAGAUCUAAAGUGAUAGCAGCUUUUGUGACACAAGGAAAUAUAAUUUUAUUUUAACAAAUAUUUUGACAUAUAUUUAACGUUUCUUUGUUUCAAAGCAUACAUAUUUUUGCAAAAAAAAUUAAUAAAAAAUCUGGUACAACAUAAAAUUUAUAGGUAUUUUUUUAAAUAUCUACACAACGAAACAUGCUACUACAACCAGAUAUCAAAAGAAAGGUUGUAAUUUUGCCUUAAAAUACAAUAUUAAAAUACAUUUUAUAAUUUAUAAAAAUGAGCAAAUUUUCUAUUUGCAAAAAGUGAUCGCACUGUACAUUGUAUGGCUAGAUACCAGAUAUUAAAUUAUUUACAAUAACCCUAUACUACAAAAAAUUUGACAUAUCAUUUACAUUUUUGUUACCUUGGAAAUUUAAUCCACAGCUCAUCAAAUAUUACCAUUUUCCUCAACAAAAGUGUAAAUAUUUUGAAAAUUAUUAACUAUACACCUAAAAAACCUUAUACAAACUCUUCAUAUUUUUAAAAAAUAUAUUAAAAAAUGAUUAUUUAAUAUAUAGGGUGUUUCAUUAAAAAAACACAACUUUGGUUCAUUCUGUUGUUUUGACUGACCCUGUAUAAUCGAAUAUAACUUUAAACUAUAGACGUCUUUUAUACACAAUAGUUUUGUUAUAAACAUUUUUUUGUAUACUUCAUAGUUUAGCCGGAAUAAAAGAAUACCAGAGGUUUGGCGCACCCUGUAUAUUUCGUCGGCACCUAUUUACAGUAAAUAAAGUACAGGGAACGUUUAUAAUGUAAUAAUCCUAUAGGACAUACCUAUUCAUGCACCCAUGAGUGUUGAUUGUGGCUAAAAUCAAAAUAAUUUAGCGCGUUAGGAAAUGUCCCUAAUAUAUUUAUUUUCCUGUUUUUGAAGCUGAAUUUUUUACUUUUUGGAAGUCCUCGUAUAUCAUAAUUUGUCUUAAUAAUACUUAAUUAGUUUUAAUUUCGGUACCUGUACACAAAAUGCACAUAUAUUUCCGAAAAAAGUUUUAUUUAUUUUUAAUAAACGUAAAAAACG
Molecule: unclassified non-coding RNA, 3664 nt
Filed under: Diabrotica virgifera virgifera (western corn rootworm)
Lineage: Eukaryota; Metazoa; Arthropoda; Insecta; Coleoptera; Chrysomelidae
Description: probable mitochondrial glutathione transporter SLC25A40
Source: RNAcentral